This 253-nucleotide ribosomal RNA is filed under the name uncultured bacterium. RNAcentral's name for it is "partial 16S ribosomal RNA". It matches the Rfam family "Bacterial small subunit ribosomal RNA", at positions 524 to 776 of the family's 1533-position model. The record is from RNAcentral.
UACGUAGGGUCCGAGCGUUAUCCGGAAUUAUUGGGCGUAAAGAGCUCGUAGGCGGUUUGUCGCGUCUGCUGUGAAAACUCGGGGCUCAACUCCGAGCUUGCAGUCGAUACGGGCAGGCUAGAGUUCGGCAGGGGAGACUGGAAUUCCUGGUGUAGCGGUGAAAUGCGCAGAUAUCAGGAGGAACACCGGUGGCGAAGGCGGGUCUCUGGGCCGAUACUGACGCUGAGGAGCGAAAGCGUGGGGAGCGAACAGG